Molecule: non-coding RNA, 3390 nt
Organism: Oryctolagus cuniculus (rabbit)
Lineage: Eukaryota; Metazoa; Chordata; Mammalia; Lagomorpha; Leporidae
Source: RefSeq, a predicted model, not a curated record
GGAGAGGGCAAUGAGGUAUCCUGUGUGACACCUGGCACUCCAAAUACUGUAUUGUAUUUAAUCUGAAUGAUAGUCCUGCAAGAGGGAUAGCCUUGUCCCCCAGUGCAGGUGAGGAAACCGAGUCACAUGCCGCCUUCACACUGAUUCAUUCAGACGACUCAGGAACAGGACUUAGUACCAGCAGAGGCUUUAAGAAUCAAAUGCUUGCCACAUCAUCUCAGGAGAAAGGAUACCAGGAAGUACAACAGGAAAUGAAUUGGCCUAGGAGGAGGCCUGCCAGGAAAGAACAGGGAGGGUUGAGACAAAGUAACUGGAGUUACCAUCAAAGGGGACAUCUGGUGCCCUACAGCCUUCAUUAAAGUUGUGGUUACUCUUUAACGACUGUGUACACUAUUAGAUUAAUUAAUUAGAUUCUAGUAUACUCCUUAUAGACCCCAGGAGGGCUGCCAAUAAAGAGUUCAGAUGUUAUGGUUCUGGAACCCAGAAGGUUGGAAUCAUAAACAAAGCAAGGUUCCUUGGAUUCAGUUCCUGGUGAAGUUUAUGGCCCUAAGGCAGGAUUAGGUAGUGCGUUCUCCUUGUGCCCAGGGCUCCAAAUCCAAACCAAACUAUCUGAGCUAUCUCCUGGGAAGAUGACUAAGCAGGGGUCCCAACAUAACCAGGCUGCUUCGUCCUGAGUUUUCCGAUUGACAUAGGACCACAAAGCCAAUAUUUGAUUUUCAAUAUGCACAAGAUUGUCUAAAAAUCCUGCUCUUUACAUCAUCUGGUCUGCGACCUUGACCUUGGUCAUGUAACUUGUCUUCUCUGCACAUAAGAGUUAUUACCUGCAAACUGAGAAUAAUAAUACUAAAUGUACAUAACAUACCCUGUGAUGUCCUUGGCACAGAAUCUCUAAGCUACAGCAAAACUGCACUGCUGUUAUUUUCAUCUACCUCUGUAUCCCUUGCAUUGAGAGUAGAUCUUUGACUUAUGGAAGAUGGCUGAGGAAAGAUUGUGGAAGGAAUUCAUGGUGCAAUACAUGAAUACUUCAAGGGCACUGCCUAGAAAAACAACUCUGUGCAUUAUAUUGAAGGAUAAUAUGGGAUGUCUGUGCAUCGGAGAAGGUUUUUACUCAUUUGGGGACUUCCUGAAUUCCUAUAUGUCACCCAUAUAGGAAUUGAAAAAUUCAGCAAAGAAUUCCCUUUUAUAAACAAAACAAACAAGAAAAAUAUCUUCCCAAAAUAAAGAAGGCUGUAUGUUUAGCAAGGAUCCUUCUUUGAAUUCACUAAAUACUACUGAACACUGACUACAUACCAAAAGUCCCUGAGUAUGUAUGCACAGAUGUGCAACACCACAUUCCUGCCAAUGUUAUACAGAUCUUAUGUCUUUUGAUGCUAUUAUUUUAUUGUCUUGACUUUCAGUGUUAAUCUGAAUAACAUUUUACAUUGGAGAAAAUGCAGUUCCCGAAGAAAAUAAUCCAAGUCAAUUGAGUAAUGUGAGGAAAUAAAUCAAAGAUAACAUUGUGGAAUUUUAGUGCUAUGUGGCCUCAUACAUAAUUUCAGCUCAUAUCUUUGGUUUAUAGCUGGAACACUGAAUCACAGAUUUUAAGUGGCAUGCCUGAGGCCAUCUGCAAGGCAAUGGGGGAUUGGGUUCUUCUCAUUCCUAUUUUAGUUUUUGCAGUGCAGAAAAUUAAGAAUUAGAGAAAAAGAAAAUAGAGAAAUUUCCUUCCAUUAAGAGAAAUAUUUAACCACUUUUAAGGGACAUUACUUUUGGAAUUUAUAAUGAAUCAUGAUUUCCACUUGAUAAUUGUUCAAUCAUGCAAAAGCCAUCAGUUGAAUUAUAUUGAACAUUUUAAAACCUGACAAGAGCUGUGAAAUAUGAGUGAAUCUUAUUUCUACUAAUCUCUGUUUGAGGUAUUACUUGGAUGCAAUUGAGCCUUUAGUAAUUUUAACUCGUAUGUCUAAUACUCUGUUGAUGCAUAUUCGCCUUUAAGGUUAAAAGCUCAUUUUUUCUAGUAAUUAAAAUUCCUGCAGUACUUAGUUCUGAAGGUAGAGUUAGGAUCUUUCUGGAGAGCUGCUGGUGAGAGGCACCAGUGGGCGGUGGUGAGUGCAGUUAGGCCUCUGUGCUGUGAGCAGUUAGGCAGCAACCUCAUGCCCAAUGACCAUAACAGUGACUUUAGGAGGCUUCCAAUAUGGCUGAAAAGGGAAAAGACAUGAUGAUUCUGGUAGCAGAUGGUAAUAGAAGAAAAAUGGAGGAAGUGUACUCCCAGUGGGGAGCUGGAAAGACUUUUGCAGUGGAAACUCUACAGAAAGAAGAGGAAUACUGUGGAGGAGUGUGAAAGGUGAGGACUCACAGCAGCAAGUGGGGCUAGCAUCCACAACUCUUAUAGCCAGGGCUGGAGGAGACACCAAGUUCUGAGAGUGAGGUGAGGGCAGAUUGAGGCAGCUCAUGCCACUGGGGAUAUUGGAUGAGGGAGAUCCUUGUGUACCACACUGACUUUGAGUCUGGCCUCAAGACCUAGCAGGGGGCAGGGAACCCUCUAAUCCAAAGCAUAUUUCCUUCUCUGCAUCCACACACAAUGUUACCCUGGAUUCUCAUCCCACACUUGAACACUGGCCAGAGCUCCCUAGCUCAACCCAGCACAUACCUCUGGGUAUCCAUUGAUAGAUCAGACACUGCUAAGACAUAGAGGCAUACAAAGAUAAAACCCAUCAACAGAGAAAACCAAGUGUUUUCACAAAUGCCUAAAAAUAAUUUCAGGAAUACAAGAAACAAGAACAAGGAAGACAACAUGACUCCCCCAAAGGAACAAAACAACACUUCAAUAUUAGAAUGUGAAGAUGAAGAGAUUGGUGAAAUGCCUGAAAAGGAAUUCAAGAGAAUCAUCAUAGGAUUACUGAGAAGCAAUGAGAAGCAAAUACAUGAGAUGAAGUAAUCCAUACAUGACAUGGAUGAAAAAUUCUCCCAUGAGAUAGAAAUCUUGAAGAGAAAUCAAACAGAAAUAUUAGAAAUGAAGAAUUCAGUAUGUCAAAUUAAAAAAUAGGAGGAAGCCUUAAAAACUUACUUGGUAGGCCGGUGCCGCGGCUCAGUAGGCUAAUCCUCUGCCUUGUGGUGCUGGCAUACUGGGUUCUAGUCCCGGGCGGGCCCCAGAUUCUGUCCUGGUUGCCCCUCUUCCAGGCCAGCUCUCUGCUGUGGCCCGGGAAGGCAGUGGAGGAUGGCCCAAGUGCUUGGGCCCUGCACCCCAUGGGAGACCAGGAGAAGCACCUGGCUCCUGCCUUUGGAUAGGCACGGUGCGCCGGCAGCAACACGCCGGUGAUGGUGGCCAUUGGAGGGUGAACCAACGGCAAAAGGAAGACCUUUCUCUCUGUCUCUCUCUCACUGUCCACUCUGCCUGUCAAAAAAAAAAAAAACAAC